Frieseomelitta varia is the source of this 431-nucleotide long non-coding RNA. RefSeq lists it as uncharacterized. The transcript has 2 exons. NCBI's taxonomy places the organism in Eukaryota, Metazoa, Arthropoda, Insecta, Hymenoptera, Apidae. The record is from RefSeq and is a predicted model, not a curated record.
CGUUAUCCCUAUCCCUUCCAAAGCAGGUACAAGAACUUUAUUGGCGGGAAACAUAUUCCAGUCCAGUUACAUAUAUAUUCUUUCUCGGACUCAAUUUCACAGGACUUACUUUAUUUAUCUCAUACCUUUUUUUUUACGAUAUAUCGUACUAAUGCAUAUUCCAAGAUAAGAGAGAAGCAAAAAAUGGAAAAAGGAAGAAAGAGAAGAAAAUUUUACAUGUUUAUCGCACAUUACAAAAAAGCGUGUUAUUCAUUGAACGUACGCGUAAAAAGGUAGAGAUACGAGAGAAGAUAAUACGAGAUAAGGUUACAAGAUAGAAUAUAAUCUAAGAACAGAAAAAGCACAAAUCGUUUGCACGUGCAACCAGUCGAAACGCUAGUCGUUAUUUCGAUACGUUUUCAAGAUCCAAAUGUCUUCUAUUUUCCAUCGUC